UGGGGAAUAUUGGACAAUGGGCGCAAGCCUGAUCCAGCCAUGCCGCGUGAGUGAUGAAGGCCCUAGGGUUGUAAAGCUCUUUCACCGGUGAAGAUAAUGACGGUAACCGGAGAAGAAGCCCCGGCUAACUUCGUGCCAGCAGCCGCGGUAAUACGAAGGGGGCUAGCGUUGUUCGGAUUUACUGGGCGUAAAGCGCACGUAGGCGGACUAUUAAGUCAGGGGUGAAAUCCCGGGGCUCAACCCCGGAACUGCCUUUGAUACUGGUAGUCUUGAGUUCGAGAGAGGUGAGUUGAAUUCCGAGUGUAGAGGUGAAAUUCGUAGAUAUUCGGAGGAACACCAGUGGCGAAGGCGGCUCACUGGCUCGAUACUGACGCUGAGGUGCGAAAGCGUGGGGAGCAAACAGG
Molecule: ribosomal RNA, 404 nt
Filed under: Actinomycetes bacterium
Lineage: Bacteria; Bacillati; Actinomycetota; Actinomycetes
Description: Actinobacteria bacterium partial 16S ribosomal RNA
Rfam family: Bacterial small subunit ribosomal RNA
Source: RNAcentral